RNAcentral lists this ribosomal RNA (497 nucleotides) under uncultured bacterium. RNAcentral's name for it is "partial 16S ribosomal RNA". It matches the Rfam family "Bacterial small subunit ribosomal RNA", at positions 28 to 507 of the family's 1533-position model. The record is from RNAcentral.
GAUGAACGCUGGCGGCGUGCCUAAUACAUGCAAGUCGAGCGAACGGACGAGAAGCUUGCUUCUCUGAUGUUAGCGGCGGACGGGUGAGUAACACGUGGAUAACCUACCUAUAAGACUGGGAUAACUUCGGGAAACCGGAGCUAAUACCGGAUGAUAUUUUGCACCGCAUGGUUCAAAAGUGAAAGACUGUCUUGCUGUCACUUAUAGAUGGAUCCGCGCUGCAUUAGCUAGUUGGUAAGGUAACGGCUUACCAAGGCAACGAUGCAUAGCCGACCUGAGAGGGUGAUCAGCCACACUGGAACUGAGACACGGUCCAGACGCAUACGGGAGGCAGCAGUAGGGAAUCUACCGCAAUGGGAGAAAGCCUGACGGAGAAACGCCGCGUGAGUGAUGAAGGGCUUCGGAUAGUAAAACUCUGUUAUUAGGGAAGAACAUAUGUGUAAGUAACUGUGCACAUCUUGAAGGUACCUAAUCAGAAAGCCACGGCUAACUACGUG